CCUACGGGUGGCAGCAGUCGAGAAUCAUUCACAAUGGGGGAAACCCUGAUGGUGCGACGCCGCGUGGGGGAAUGAAGGUCUUCGGAUUGUAAACCCCUGUCAUGUGGGAGCAAAUUAAAAAGAUAGUACCACAAGAGGAAGAGACGGCUAACUCUGUGCCAGCAGCCGCGGUACUACAGAGGGGUUAAGCGUUGUUCGGAAUCACUGGGCGUAAAGCGUGCGUAGGCUGUUUGGUAAGUCGUGUGUGAAAGGCGCGGGCUCAACCCGCGGACGGCACAUGAUACUGCGAGACUAGAGUAAUGUAGGGGGAACCGGAAUUCUCGGUGUAGCAGUGAAAUGCGUAGAUAUCGAGAGGAACACUCGUGGCGAAGGCGGGUUCCUGGACAUUAACUGACGCUGAGGCACGAAGGCCAGGGGAGCGAAAGGGAUUAGAUACCCCAGUAGUC
Molecule: ribosomal RNA, 446 nt
Filed under: uncultured bacterium
Lineage: Bacteria
Description: partial 16S ribosomal RNA
Rfam family: Bacterial small subunit ribosomal RNA
Source: RNAcentral